CCUACGGGUGGCAGCAGUCGAGAAUCAUUCACAAUGGGGGAAACCCUGAUGGUGCGACGCCGCGUGGGGGAAUGAAGGUCUUCGGAUUGUAAACCCCUGUCAUGUGGGAGCAAAUUAAAAAGAUAGUACCACAAGAGGAAGAGACGGCUAACUCUGUGCCAGCAGCCGCGGUAAUACAGAGGUCUCAAGCGUUGUUCGGAAUCACUGGGCGUAAAGCGUGCGUAGGCUGUUUCGUAAGUCGUGUGUGAAAGGCGCGGGCUCAACCCGCGGACGGCACAUGAUACUGCGAGACUAGAGUAAGGGAGGGGGAACCGGAAUUCUCGGUGGAGCAGUGAAAUGCGUAGAUAUCGAGAGGAACACUCGUGGCGAAGGCGGGUUCCUGGACAUUAACUGACGCUGAGGCACGAAGGCCAGGGGAGCGAAAGGGAUUAGAUACCCGUGUAGUC
RNAcentral lists this ribosomal RNA (446 nucleotides) under uncultured bacterium. Its description in RNAcentral is "partial 16S ribosomal RNA". It matches the Rfam family "Bacterial small subunit ribosomal RNA", at positions 338 to 795 of the family's 1533-position model. The record is from RNAcentral.